UAGGGAAUCUUCCACAAUGGGCGCAAGCCUGAUGGAGCAACGCCGCGUGAGUGAAGAAGGUCUUCGGAUCGUAAACUCUGUUGUUAGAGAAGAACAUGCAGGAGAGUAACUGUUCCUGUAUUGACGGUAUCUAACCAGAAAGCCACGGCUAACUACGUGCCAG
Molecule: ribosomal RNA, 163 nt
Filed under: uncultured bacterium
Lineage: Bacteria
Description: partial 16S rRNA
Rfam family: Bacterial small subunit ribosomal RNA
Source: RNAcentral